GGCCUGAUGGUUUAGUGGUAUAAUUCUCGCUUUGGGUGCGAGAGGCCCCGCGUUCGAUUCGCGGUCAGGCCC
This 72-nucleotide transfer RNA is filed under the name Cladosporium sphaerospermum UM 843. Its description in RNAcentral is "tRNA-Pro (TGG) (tRNA-Pro-TGG-1-1)". It matches the Rfam family "tRNA". Rfam says of the family: Transfer RNA (tRNA) molecules are approximately 80 nucleotides in length. Their secondary structure includes four short double-helical elements and three loops (D, anti-codon, and T loops). The record is from RNAcentral. Lineage: Eukaryota; Fungi; Ascomycota; Dothideomycetes; Cladosporiales; Cladosporiaceae.